Molecule: small nucleolar RNA, 68 nt
Organism: Brugia malayi
Lineage: Eukaryota; Metazoa; Nematoda; Chromadorea; Rhabditida; Onchocercidae
Source: RefSeq, a predicted model, not a curated record
ACAAUCUUAUGAAAUUUUGUGGUAGUUUUCCGCAACAAGAAACACAGAUCUUUGGUUCACUGAUUGUU